AUGGGCCCUCUUGUGGUAGACCCACAUGUCAUCGGUGUAACUAUUUACACUCCGGAGCACGGUGCCUAUAUCCUCGUAGUAGUACUAGUAGAAUUGAGAUUUAAUGCACUUUCUUCCCCGUCUUCCACUCUUCUUCCUCCUCUCUUCUUCUUCCUCCUCUCUUCCCCAUCGUCGGCCACACACCAUUUACCCCCGCUCACUGCUCGCCCGCCCGCGCCAUCUUCCUUGGUAGCUCGCGCCCACUACUGGGCGGGCAUGAAGGCCAACUGGAUCGUCCUCAUCCACCACACCAGUAGUCCAUGGCGUCUCGUGCAUAUCUACACCCAAGAUUCGUCGACACAGCUUGUUGCCAGCUGGAAUUACCGAGGCAAGUCGAAGAAGGACUGGCCGGUGCUACCGGCUGGCGUCAAGUUCGAUCCCACGGAUCAGGAGCUGAUCGAGCACCUUGAGGCCAAAGUGAGUGUUGACAACGCGAGAUUUCAGUCUCUCAUCGAUUUGUUCAUACCAACCAUCGACAGCGAGCACGGCAUAUGCUACACCCAACCUGAGAAACUUCCAGGUAUCACACUGAGUGGCCUAAGGAAGCAUUUCUUCCAGCGCAAUUCCAGGGCGUUGAAAAGGGGCACGUGGACGCGUCGCAAGAUACAGUCGGAGUGCGGCAUGCACGCGAUGUGGCACAAGACCGGCAAUAGCUUGCCUGUGAUGAGGACCAACUGGGUGAUGCACCAGUACCUCCUCGGGGACCUGGAGCAAGAGAAGGAGCGGGAGCUGGUCCUCUGCAAGAUUUUCUACCAGACGAACACUAGGGCCAUGUGUAGUUUGGUAUUGGUAGUUGUACUACCUUGUCGUCCACAAGUUGGUAUUGUAGUUAACAAUCUUUUGGCCCAGCCCAUGACGACAAUGGGGCACAAAGAUCCAGCAGGUAUCUACUGGCCUCUGGCCCUCCAGCGUUAG
This 954-nucleotide ribosomal RNA is filed under the name Triticum aestivum (bread wheat). RNAcentral describes it as "partial small subunit ribosomal RNA". Lineage: Eukaryota; Viridiplantae; Streptophyta; Magnoliopsida; Poales; Poaceae. The record is from RNAcentral.